GACGAACGCUGGCGGCGUGCUUAACACAUGCAAGUCGAACGGAAAGGCCCGGCCUUUGUGGGCUGCUCGAGUGGCGAACGGGGGAGCAACACGUGAGUAACCUGUCCCUGACCUUGGGAUAACUUCAGGAAACUGGGGCUAAUACCGGAUAGGAGCUCUUGCUGCAUGGUGGGGGUUGGAAAGAUUCGGCGGUUGGGGAUGGACUCGCGGCCUAUCAGCUUGUUGGUGGGGUAGUGGCUUUCCAAGGCUUGGACGGGUAGCCGACCUGAGAGGGUGACAGGCCCCGUUAGACCUGGGCUGCGGCCCGGCCUCCACCGGUACGCAGCAGUGCGGUGUAUUGCACUGUGGGCGGAGGCCUGGUCCGGCCACGCCACGUGCGGGGUGACGGCCUUCGGUUUGUGUUCCACUUCCGCCUUUGCCGAAGCGUGAGUGACAGUAAUGGGUGAAGAAGCUCCGGCUAACUACGUG
RNAcentral lists this ribosomal RNA (468 nucleotides) under uncultured bacterium. RNAcentral describes it as "partial 16S ribosomal RNA". It matches the Rfam family "Bacterial small subunit ribosomal RNA", at positions 28 to 507 of the family's 1533-position model. The record is from RNAcentral.